This 215-nucleotide ribosomal RNA is filed under the name uncultured bacterium. RNAcentral's name for it is "partial 16S ribosomal RNA". It matches the Rfam family "Bacterial small subunit ribosomal RNA", at positions 102 to 334 of the family's 1533-position model. The record is from RNAcentral.
ACGGGUGCGUAACGCGUGGGAACAUACCCUUUGGUUCGGAAUAACUCAGGGAAACUUGAGCUAAUACCGGAUAAGUGCGAGAGCAGAAAGAUUUAUCGCCGAAGGAUUGGCCCGCGUCUGAUUAGCUUGUUGGUGAGGUAAUGGCUCACCAAGGCUACGAUCAGUAGCUGGUCUGAGAGGAUGAUCAGCCACACUGGGACUGAGACACGGCCCAG